Molecule: ribosomal RNA, 78 nt
Filed under: Nitrospinota bacterium
Lineage: Bacteria; Pseudomonadati; Nitrospinota
Source: RNAcentral
CCGAACACGGAAGUUAAGCCUCUUAGCGCCGAUGGUACUUCCCUGGCGACGGGGUGGGAGAGUAGGUCGCUGCCGGCA